Long non-coding RNA from Exaiptasia diaphana, 4559 nucleotides. RefSeq lists it as uncharacterized. The record is from RefSeq and is a predicted model, not a curated record. The transcript has 2 exons. NCBI's taxonomy places the organism in Eukaryota, Metazoa, Cnidaria, Anthozoa, Actiniaria, Aiptasiidae.
ACCAAUGGCUGUCUAUUUGUUUCUGAAUAUGAAAUAUGUGAAAACUUUGUCACUGUCAUGUGAAUGCACUACCAGAAAUAAACAUUUUUUGAAAGUUUUACAGCCCUGGAUAAAAUGCGAAUAAAUUUAUGGCAAAUGAAAAUACAAGAAAUGUAUGUAAUUUUCAGCCAAGGCUUUUAUAGCCUCGUUCUGGUGUUAUGAUAUAUUUUAAAUCUUUAUAACUUCACCAGAAUUUAAUAUUUUCAUUUCAAACUUUUAUAUGUUGUUAUUAGCACAGGUUCCUAUCAGCUGUUAGUUUACUUUGAAUAAAAAUUCUAAAUUUUAAAAGUUUAUGUUAAUUAGAUGGCGGCCAUUAUGGUAAAGGUGUAUGCUAUUCAGAUAUUACUAGUCACAAGCCUGGGUCAAAUGUCUAACUGUCUGAUCUAACUGUAUGUUCAACUUGCGAAAGUCAUUGUUUUGACCUCAUUUAUAUUAAGAACGACACUUGUGCCCUACUAUUCUUUUGUACUGUAUUACAAUACUUUCCAAUUCUCCUGAAUUAUGUUUAGUACAUUUCUUUAACCCUCAUCAACCAUUUGGAACCAAUCUUUUUGCUUUGAACUGCUCUCCAAAAAUUUCAUCUAAAAGAAAAUUCGAACAGAAUUAUUAAGUUCGGCAUUUGACCGUGUCCUUAGAUAUUAAAAAUUAGCUAUUUAGAAGUGGUUUGGACUUUCCCGGGAGCUCGGGUUUUGGGAUGGAUGUAUGAUUUUGAAAAUAAGGUCAGUGCAUGAAUCAUACAGCUCAAAUGCAUGGAGUACAAAAAAAACCUUCACUUCUGUAAUGGAGAAAAAAAUCCUUCAGAGCAUCGAGAAGUCAGUCAAAUUUUCUUUCCACUAUUUAAAAAAAAAAUAUUCUUGCCAUAGAGCUAGUCAUCCUCCCCUUCCCCACACUCGAAAGUCAAUUGGGCAGCCCCUAGAAGUCUAGAGUUUUUCUCUAUCAMUUUAUAUAGUAGCUAGGAUGUGACAAAGCUUUUGUUAUCAAACAGCAAACUCAUGACUGAAUGCUACUUUACAUUUAUCACAAUAUUGAUCAAACGCAAUCAUUGAAUGUUUUUCUAUAUUUUUUUUUUAUUUUUUUUUUUAUUUUUUUAUUUAUUUUUUUUGCUUUGGAAGAUAGAUAAAAAUAGAAUUCUUGUGUCUACGAAUAGCCAAAAAUCAUUUGUAUAGUAUUGUUUGUUAGCAAAUUUUUAGUAAAAGAUUAGAAAUAGACAGCUGUUUAGUUUUUGAUCUUUGAUCUUUACUGGAAUGUACAAAAUAUCAUUCAAAUGGGUAUUAUGAAACACAUGCAACAUUGUAAAAAUGUACAAGCGACAAACGUUGACGAUCGAACAUAAUCCAUCAUUUUGGCUGGCCGGGCCCCAAACACUCAAAAUAUCCAGGUUUUUUUUAAUGGCUGGUCGUUUGUGUUUUUGUAUACGGAUCAUAAAAAUAAUAAUUCUUGAGAGAGGUCAAGAAGUUGCAAACAAACGAGUUGCUGAAGGGAUUUUUGGACUAUUUUAAUUUAUUGAACAUCAAAUUAUAUUUAGCAGGUGAUACUCUAUCCAAAAACUCUUCGUAUGACCAAAAGACGGCUUAAAAGUGAACGAAUAAUCCCGCCUAAAAAUCAACGGUUAUCUCUUCAAUCAGUUAGCGCAUAGGAUCGAUUUACAKUUACCUUUUAAGACCUUUUAUGCUUCAGCUUGAUGAGAAGCCACUUUAUAUUGCGUUCGAUGAAGGCGUCUUACGUAUAUACUACAUUGUAUAUAAUUCGAACUCUUUCCAUUCAUUGUACAAUGUUUGUCCUUAAUCUUUAAGCUUAUAUAUUCUUUAGGAAUCAACAGGAAGGUUUUCUUUUUAAAAGACUAAUUGGAGAUCUACCACAUUUGUGUUUGGAAACAAUGAAGUAAAAAUGRGACCGAAAAAGUUCAGUUAAUUUCUUUUUAUUAAUUUUUUUCAUUAAUGUUUUGAUUCAAUGAAGACUAUCGCAAUAASACCAAAAACCGAUCCAUUUAAUGAGAGUUMAAGGRCUUUAAUUACUACCUCUACAUGGAWAAUGCUCUUUUAAGAUCAAUGUUUUACGCUUUGAAUCUUGAAAGUUAGACUUUGGCAAACUAAAUUAGAAAGACUAGAAGAGCGUUAUUACCCUUCGCUACUUUAGACAUGUAAACGUUUCCAAAUAAAAAAAGUUAAGAAGUGCUGUUUGACUGAAAGCCGCGGCAUCUUGAAUGUUAAAAGAAAGAAAAACAAUCUUUGUGCUUUGUGUUCCGACUUUGUUCGUAAUAGCGUAUUCCGUAGGGCUGCCAAGGGGCAUGGAAGAGAAGAAGAGGCCAAAAAAAAGGGAAAGGAAACGGUUUUGGAAACAAAGCUAUACGAAUAAAACUCACGCGAUUCUGCCACUAAGUUAGAUUAUAGUAUUUGAUAACUCAAUUUUAUGCUUCUAAUGCUUUAGGUUAUCAAACCAUUGAAAAAACAUCAAGAAAGAUUUUGAUAUAGGAGUUGUAUUUUGUGAACUGUAUUUAGGAAGACUGAGACGGCUUUCCACUUCACUUGAAGUGAAAGUAUAAUAAUUUUGUAAUUUAGAAGAAAACAUCUUUAUGAAAUUACAAUUUAAUCGGGAUCAAGAAAGUAUAAUUUAUAGUUUACAUAGAGMAAGAAAUACGAUGAAAAAUUAUCGGAUGACCCCCGUCGUGAAAGGAGGGGAAAAGAGAUUCUGUAAAUAGCGAAAGGGCAUGAGAAAUUGUAUCACUCUUAAUACAAAACCMGGUUUAUUUUUAAAUCUGAAAUUUCCAAGAGAUCUGAAGGCAAAAAGACUGUUACCAACUUGUAUAUUUUUAUUUUUGUUCUUUAAUGGUGUUCAAAAGUAAGCUUCAAGGGAUCACAUAAAAGUCGCACACUGUUUGAAUAACACUAUCCAUUGCCAAGUUGUUUGACAUUAUGUACAAAAUAAUAGCUCAUAGAGCUAGAUUAAUAACGGUUAUGUUUUCAGAAUCCUCUUAAAGGAUGUUUGCCAUUGUUUUUAAAUGGUUGGAGGUCAAUUUCCGUUUGUUUAUGUUUAAGUAGAUGGUUAUGAUUUCGCGUUAAAGAUCACAAUGAAUGAGACGACAACCAUCAAACAGAUGUGGAAACCGUGAAUUCGUCCGGAGGGAGGUCGAUCUCGCUGGCUGGAAUAUUACAAAAUUAAACGUAACUUGAUAAUGAUUUUCACAUCUGAUUUGUUUUGUGACUUUGUAUUAAUGAUAGUUGCUUUGUUUCUGAUCUCAAGUAGUUUCUUGGAAGUCUAUUCAUGACUGGAUUGAUCUAUAAUUACUCCUGCACUAUUCUCUCUUCUUCGACAAGGUUGCCCCACAUACGUUAAACAUCACGGCUUGUGUAGAAUAUAUAAUASGCUCAUAUAUAGAGGAUAUUACACAGUUGUGUGGAGAUACGGAUUUUAUCUUCUAGCGCUAAAAAAAUCCCAACRCGGGAAGAUAAAAUCYGUUUCUCCAACCGACUAUGUAAUAUUUCGUUAAUCAUAUWGUUGGAAAUCCAUUACCUGUCCAAAAUUUACCUCGUUUGACCUAUGAUUUCGUCUAAUUCKUACUUAGUACUUUCAAAGUUUUCCUACAAAAUGUAUAUAUUUUUUUCACCCUUCAAGAGUCAAGUCAUUAGAGAUGAGUAUUUCUUUUUUACUGUCUAUAAACUGAUCUCUUAAUCUCCAUCCCACUUCAACCCCCUGGAAUGAUGAACGAAUGAGAAUACACACAACACAUAAAUAGCACAAAUGCAUCCAACACUUGAGGUUAAUUGAUGAACCUGUAAUCACUCUUUCUGCUCUAAUAAGUGACUGAGAUCUUGCGUUGUUUUCAAUCGUCUUUUUGUCUUUUUAUUCACAGAGACGCGAGGGCGAAGGCGUGUUGCCUUUUCUUCAGGAAAUCCUUUUGUUUCGAAAGAAACAUGUUUUGUUUUCAUAUUCAACGCUAAUGUAGUUUUGUUUAUCUUUAAAUCAGUUAAAUAAGGGCUUAACGCAAAGAGGUUAACAGAAAAGACACGAGAGCUUCGACCAGUACAGGACUCUUGCAUUGGGGGAAGUAGAUAAAAGUGAUUAUACAGCACUACCCAAAAGUCGUCAGACUAAACGCUGCAAAACUAGACACAGCAAAUAAAAAAAACAGAGAAAUCCAGACAUGUAUACGUAUAUCAUUUUGUUGUUUACUGCCCAUAUACUUCUAUGUCARUGCCGUAGUCAAAACGUUCGAGUUGGCCGCUCCGAAAAUCCACUCUUCACUCACAGAACAAGCGGCACUUCACCGUACGACGAGGAAACUUUCCAAGACUACUACGCCAUUAACUCGGCUGACGCCCCAAGUUUUGAUGACGCUCUUAAGAGAUCUGUUGGUUCGUCUAAUGUUUUAGCAAAGAUAUAUGGAGGAGACCGCCGAGGCCUCAAGGACUCUUCGUUUUCUAGUUCUGAGGAAUUUACUAAAGAGAAACCAAAUAGGAAAUAAACCAAAUCAAUCUCAAUGAAAUCAAAUUAAAUUCUAAUAAAAAGUAAUAGCUCAGAUA